AGUGAACGCUGGCGGUAGGCCUAACACAUGCAAGUCGAACGGCAGCACAGAGGAGCUUGCUCCUUGGGUGGCGAGUGGCGGACGGGUGAGGAAUACAUCGGAAUCUACUCUGUCGUGGGGGAUAACGUAGGGAAACUUACGCUAAUACCGCAUACGACCUACGGGUGAAAGCAGGGGACCUUCGGGCCUUGCGCGAUUGAAUGAGCCGAUGUCGGAUUAGGCUAGUUGGCGGGGUAAAGGCCCACCAAGGCGACGAUCCGUAGCUGGUCUGAGAGGAUGAUCAGCCACACUGGAACUGAGACACGGUCCAGACUCCUACGGGAGGCAGCAGUGGGGAAUAUUGGACAAUGGGCGCAAGCCUGAUCCAGCCAUACCGCAUGGGUGAAGAAGGCCUUCGGGUUGUAAAGCCCUUUUGUUGGGAAAGAAAUCCAGCUGGCUAAUACCCGGUUGGGGUGACGGUACCCAAAGAAUAAGCACCGGCUAACUUCGUGCCAGCCGCCGCGGUAA
RNAcentral lists this ribosomal RNA (507 nucleotides) under uncultured bacterium. RNAcentral's name for it is "partial 16S ribosomal RNA". It matches the Rfam family "Bacterial small subunit ribosomal RNA", at positions 29 to 523 of the family's 1533-position model. The record is from RNAcentral.